RNAcentral lists this ribosomal RNA (954 nucleotides) under Brachybacterium sp. RNAcentral describes it as "bacterial SSU rRNA". It matches the Rfam family "Bacterial small subunit ribosomal RNA", at positions 481 to 1434 of the family's 1533-position model. The record is from RNAcentral. Lineage: Bacteria; Bacillati; Actinomycetota; Actinomycetes; Micrococcales; Dermabacteraceae.
GCAGAAGAAGCGCCGGUUAACUACGUGCCAGCAGCCGCGGUAAUACGUAGGGCGCAAGCGUUGUCCGGAAUUAUUGGGCGUAAAGAGCUAGUAGGUGGCUUGUCGCGUCUGCCGUGAAAACCCGAGGCUCAACCUCGGGCGUGCGGUGGGUACGGGCAGGCUAGAGUGUGGUAGGGGAGACUGGAACUCCUGGUGUAGCGGUGAAAUGCGCAGAUAUCAGGAAGAACACCGAUGGCGAAGGCAGGUCUGUGGGCCAUUACUGACACUGAGAAGCGAAAGCAUGGGGAGCGAACAGGAUUAGAUACCCUGGUAGUCCAUGCCGUAAACGUUGGGCACUAGAUGUGGGGAACAUUCCACGUUUUCCGCGUCGUAGCUAACGCAUUAAGUGCCCCGCCUGGGGAGUACGGCCGCAAGGCUAAAACUCAAAGGAAUUGACGGGGGCCCGCACAAGCGGCGGAGCAUGCGGAUUAAUUCGAUGCAACGCGAAGAACCUUACCAAGGCUUGACAUGCACCGGACGACUCCAGAGAUGGGGUUUUCUUCGGACUGGUGCACAGGUGGUGCAUGGUUGUCGUCAGCUCGUGUCGUGAGAUGUUGGGUUAAGUCCCGCAACGAGCGCAACCCUCGUUCCAUGUUGCCAGCGCGUAAUGGCGGGGACUCAUGGGAGACUGCCGGGGUCAACUCGGAGGAAGGUGGGGACGACGUCAAAUCAUCAUGCCCCUUAUGUCUUGGGCUUCACGCAUGCUACAAUGGCCGGUACAAAGGGUUGCGAAACUGUGAGGUGGAGCGAAUCCCAAAAAGCCGGUCUCAGUUCGGAUUGGGGUCUGCAACUCGACCCCAUGAAGUCGGAGUCGCUAGUAAUCGCAGAUCAGCAACGCUGCGGUGAAUACGUUCCCGGGCCUUGUACACACCGCCCGUCAAGUCACGAAAGUCGGUAACACCCGAAGCCAGUGGC